AUUGAACGCUGGCGGCAUGCCUUACACAUGCAAGUCGAACGGUAACGGGCCUUCGGGUGCCGACGAGUGGCGAACGGGUGAGUAAUGCAUCGGAACGUACCUUUCAGUGGGGGAUAACGUAGCGAAAGUUACGCUAAUACCGCAUAUUCUGUGAGCAGGAAAGCAGGGGAUCUUCGGACCUUGCGCUUUUGGAGCGGCCGAUGUCGGAUUAGCUAGUUGGUGGGGUAAAGGCCCACCAAGGCGACGAUCCGUAGCGGGUCUGAGAGGAUGAUCCGCCACACUGGAACUGAGACACGGUCCAGACUCCUACGGGAGGCAGCAGUGGGGAAUUUUGGACAAUGGGCGCAAGCCUGAUCCAGCCAUGCCGCGUGAGUGAAGAAGGCCUU
RNAcentral lists this ribosomal RNA (386 nucleotides) under uncultured bacterium. RNAcentral's name for it is "bacterial SSU rRNA". It matches the Rfam family "Bacterial small subunit ribosomal RNA", at positions 30 to 418 of the family's 1533-position model. The record is from RNAcentral.